AAUAGAUACCCGGGUAGUCCACGCCGUAAACGAUGAGUGCUAAGUGUUGGGGGGUUUCCGCCCUCAGUGCUGCAGCUAACGCAUUAAGCACUCCGCCUGGGGAGUACGGUCGCAAGACUGAAACUCAAAGGAAUUGACGGGGGCCCGCACAAGCGGUGGAGCAUGUGGUUUAAUUCGAAGCAACGCGAAGAACCUUACCAGGUCUUGACAUCCCGGUGACCACUAUGGAGACAUAGUUUCCCCUUCGGGGGCAACGGUGACAGGUGGUGCAUGGUUGUCGUCAGCUCGUGUCGUGAGAUGUUGGGUUAAGUCCCGCAACGAGCGCAACCCUUAUUCUUAGUUGCCAUCAUUCAGUUGGGCACUCUAAGGAGACUGCCGGUGAUAAACCGGAGGAAGGUGGGGAUGACGUCAAAUCAUCAUGCCCCUUAUGACCUGGGCUACACACGUGCUACAAUGGACGGUACAAACGGUUGCCAACCCGCGAGGGGGAGCCUAAUCCCUUAAAGGCCAUUCUCAGUUCGGAUUGUAGGCUGAAACUCGCCUACA
RNAcentral lists this ribosomal RNA (546 nucleotides) under uncultured bacterium. RNAcentral describes it as "bacterial SSU rRNA". It matches the Rfam family "Bacterial small subunit ribosomal RNA", at positions 777 to 1320 of the family's 1533-position model. The record is from RNAcentral.